GCAGGAGUAGCUCAAUUGGUAGAGUAGCGGGUUGUGAUUCCGUUGGUUGUGGGUUCAAAUCCCAUCUCUUGCCCCA
Molecule: transfer RNA, 76 nt
Filed under: Rickettsiales bacterium
Lineage: Bacteria; Pseudomonadati; Pseudomonadota; Alphaproteobacteria; Rickettsiales
Description: tRNA-His
Rfam family: tRNA
About the family: Transfer RNA (tRNA) molecules are approximately 80 nucleotides in length. Their secondary structure includes four short double-helical elements and three loops (D, anti-codon, and T loops).
Source: RNAcentral